RNAcentral lists this ribosomal RNA (579 nucleotides) under Triticum aestivum (bread wheat). Its description in RNAcentral is "partial small subunit ribosomal RNA". Lineage: Eukaryota; Viridiplantae; Streptophyta; Magnoliopsida; Poales; Poaceae. The record is from RNAcentral.
AUGGAUCCUUCCAUCCAAGAGUAUCUUGAGCGGCUCGACGCCUACAACAACGCCAUCAGGUCCCUCGUCGAGAAAGUGGGCAUCCAUGUCGUCAUUGGGGCCACCAGUACGCCCGCCAUCGUCCACAAUCCAUCACCGCCGACCACUUCGCCGGAGAGCACGACCGACGCGUCGGCGCCCGUCCCCGACGUCUCCUGCUCCACCACCAAGGCCCAGGAGAUCCCCAUGGUCGCCCAUGAUGCAGCCCCGGCCUGCGUCGCGAUGGUGCCCGUCACCUGUUCGACAGAGUGCUCGACCGAGGUCGACACCAGCGAUAGCGUCGACGAGGUCCAUGAUGCCGCCACCUCUGUCCACCUUGAGCCCACGGUCGACCCCAUCCACCAAGAAGUCGAGCAGCUCACUUCAGGGCAGGCGACGACCUCUAGUGCUGAGGUCGUUUCUCCCGUGAAGGACAUCAACCCCAAGGCCGGCGUGCAGGAGCUCGAUGCCCUGUCUGUUAACACCUCCACGCAAGUGAUGAGCAAGGCGAACCAUGGCGUCGUCAUCAUCAUCACCAGCGACUUCUCUGCACCAACGUGA